GACGAGAGUGCUUGCACUCUCUGAAGUUAGCGGCGGACGGGUGAGUAACACGUGGGUAACCUACCUAUAAGACUGGGAUAACUUCGGGAAACCGGAGCUAAUACCGGAUAAUAUUUAGCUUCGCAUGAAGCAAUAGUGAAAGACGGUUCUGCUGUCACUUAUAGAUGGACCCGCGGUGUAUUAGCUAGUUGGUGAGGUAACGGCUCACCAAGGCAACGAUACAUAGCCGACCUGAGAGGGUGAUCGGCCACACUGGGACUGAGACACGGCCCAGACUCCUACGGGAGGCAGCAGUAGGGAAUCUUCCGCAAUGGACGAAAGUCUGACGGAGCAACGCCGCGUGAGUGAAGAAGGUUUUCGGAUCGUAAAACUCUGUUGUAAGGGAAGAACAAGUACGUUAGUAACUGAACGUACCUUGACGGUACCUUACCAGAAAGCCACGGCUAACUACGUGCCAGCAGCCGCGGUAAUACGUAGGUGGCAAGCGUUAUCCGGAAUUAUUGGGCGUAAAGCGCGCGUAGGCGGUCUCUUAAGUCUGAUGUGAAAGCCCCCGGCUCAACCGGGGAGGGUCAUUGGAAACUGGGAGACUUGAGUGCAGAAGAGGAGAGUGGAAUUCCAUGUGUAGCGGUGAAAUGCGCAGAGAUAUGGAGGAACACCAGUGGCGAAGGCGGCUCUCUGGUCUGUAACUGACGCUGAGGUGCGAAAGCGUGGGGAUCAAACAGGAUUAGAUACCCUGGUAGUCCACGCCGUAAACGAUGAGUGCUAAGUGUUGGGGGGUUUCCGCCCCUCAGUGCUGCAGCUAACG
This 805-nucleotide ribosomal RNA is filed under the name Macrococcoides caseolyticum. Its description in RNAcentral is "bacterial SSU rRNA". It matches the Rfam family "Bacterial small subunit ribosomal RNA", at positions 68 to 857 of the family's 1533-position model. Lineage: Bacteria; Bacillati; Bacillota; Bacilli; Caryophanales; Staphylococcaceae. The record is from RNAcentral.